UACGUAGGGGGCUAGCGUUGUCCGGAUUUAUUGGGCGUAAAGAGCUCGUAGGCGGUUGGGUAAGUCGGGUGUGAAAACUCCAGGCUCAACUUGGAGAUGCCACCCGAUACUGCUCUGACUUGAGUUCGGUAGGGGAGUGGGGAAUUCCUGGUGUAGCGGUGAAAUGCUUAGAUAUUACAUGGAAUACCAAUUGCGAAGGCAGGUUACUACUAAUAUAUUGACGCUGAUGGACGAAAGCGUGGGGAGCGAACAGG
This 254-nucleotide ribosomal RNA is filed under the name uncultured bacterium. RNAcentral describes it as "partial 16S ribosomal RNA". It matches the Rfam family "Bacterial small subunit ribosomal RNA", at positions 524 to 776 of the family's 1533-position model. The record is from RNAcentral.